Molecule: long non-coding RNA, 930 nt
Filed under: Equus caballus (horse)
Lineage: Eukaryota; Metazoa; Chordata; Mammalia; Perissodactyla; Equidae
Description: lncRNA (ENSECAG00000058382.1)
Source: RNAcentral
AAGGGAGAUGCUUAGCAAGGCUGGAGCAGAGGCCAAAGACACGGCCAGACAUUGGGGCAGGGGCCCUGAAUGACCCUCAGCUGACCAGGCCGACCCGCCACAAUAGCUGACACUUACAGAGUGCUUACCGUGUGGCAAUGACUGUCAAAAGCUCUUGGGAUAUGUUAAUUCAUUAAUCCUCACACAGCCCUGACGAGGCAGUGCUAUCAUUAUAUCCAUUUUACAGAUGAGGAAAUUGAGGCAGGCACGGGUUAAAUGACUUGCCAAAGUCACGCAGGCAGAAAAUGGGAGGGCUGGGGUUUGAACCCCUGCAAUAUGACUCCAGAAUCUCCCAUUUAACCGCUGUGCUCCACGGCCAGCUCAAAGCCAGGUGAGGGUCCAGGUGCUGCUGCCCGGCCUGUGAAGGUAGCGGGAUUCACAGCUGCUGGAGCGGCCUCGGAAAGCGGAAGCGCCGGCUCUGGAGUUAGGCCUGUGUUCACCCCCGGCGCUGACGCUGAUGAGCCAGACACUGCACCUCAGCCCCCGGAGUCCCGGUCUCCUCCUCUGGAAAGUGGAAGCAGCGCCUACCUCCGCAGCCACUUCCAUGACAGCUGCUGAGGCCCGCAGCCUGCCAGGACUUCACUCGCUUAACUCCCACCCAGGUCAGAUCAUGCUGGUUCUGUCUUCAAAUACGUCCAGGAUGCCACCGCUUCUCCCCGAACCAUCAUGGCCUGUUGGACCACUGCAAUGGCUUCAUCCCAGGCCCUGCUCCCACCCUGCCCACUGCAGUCCACCCACAUGGCUGCUAGAGGGAGAUCAGGGCCUGAGCCGCCUCAGAACCCCUAGGAGCUCCCGGCUCCCUCAGAGGACAGGCCACAGACCCUAUGUGACCCUGUGAGACCCUAUAAUCCACCCCCCAGUAUGUCUCCCAUCUCAUUACCUCUCUGAUGA